This 588-nucleotide ribosomal RNA is filed under the name uncultured Glomus. RNAcentral's name for it is "SSU rRNA". It matches the Rfam family "Eukaryotic small subunit ribosomal RNA", at positions 624 to 1213 of the family's 1831-position model. The record is from RNAcentral. Lineage: Eukaryota; Fungi; Glomeromycota; Glomeromycetes; Glomerales; Glomeraceae.
AAGCUCGUAGUUGAAUUUCGGGGUCAGUAGGUUGGUCAUGCCUCUGGUAUGUACUGGUCUCACUGAUUCCUCCUUCCUGAUGAACCGUAAUGCCAUUAAUUUGGUGUUGCGGGGAAUUUGGACUGUUACUUUGAAAAAAUUAGAGUGUUUAAAGCAAGCUAACGCUUGAAUACAUUAGCAUGGAAUAAUGAAAUAGGACGUUCGAUCCUAUUUUGUUGGUUUCUAGGAUUGACGUAAUGAUUAAUAGGGAUAGUUGGGGGCAUUAGUAUUCAAUUGUCAGAGGUGAAAUUCUUGGAUUUAUUGAAGACUAACUACUGCGAAAGCAUUUGCCAAGGAUGUUUUCAUUAAUCAAGAACGAAAGUUAGGGGAUCGAAGACGAUCAGAUACCGUCGUAGUCUUAACCAUAAACUAUGCCGACUAGGGAUCGGAUGAUGUUAAUUUUUUAAUGACUCAUUCGGCGCCUUACGGGAAACCAAAGUGUUUGGGUUCCGGGGGGAGUAUGGUCGCAAGGCCGAAACUUAAAGGAAUUGACGGAAGGGCACCACCAGGGGUGGAGCCUGCGGCUUAAUUUGACUCAACACGGGGAAA